Vidua macroura (Pin-tailed whydah) is the source of this 494-nucleotide long non-coding RNA. RefSeq lists it as uncharacterized. The transcript has 3 exons. The record is from RefSeq and is a predicted model, not a curated record. NCBI's taxonomy places the organism in Eukaryota, Metazoa, Chordata, Aves, Passeriformes, Viduidae.
CAGCAACCCUUGGGCACGUCCAGGGCAAUUCUGGGGGAUGGUGUCUUGGAAAGACUGCUGAGUUCUGCUCUUGAGGCAGAAUAUUCACCCUGCAACUCCAGCUCCAAGGGAGUUCAGCAAGGGAACAUUCACUCAUAUUCCAGGGAUUCCUCAGUUGUCCCUUUUUAAAAAGGGCUGCUCCCAUGGGAGUGACAAAAUGCUGAGGUUAAAGAGUCUGAUUUGGAUCUUCUACAGCGAGGAAAGAACAUCAUUGCUGCACAAAAGUGAGAAGAAAUCUGAAGAAGUGAUUCAUUGUUUACUUCCACCACAAGGAAAAAUGUUUUUACUUCAUUAAGAAGUCCACAGCAGAGCAUUGCUGGAACCAGCAAGGAAAAGGGUUUAGAAGAACAGAACUCAACAGCAGGAUCCCAGAUGCCAAUGUAUGGUUUAUCCUUUGGGAUAAUUUCACUGCUCCAGAGCUUAAACCUAUAAAAAUAUAAACAGACAGAGGUAAA